Molecule: ribosomal RNA, 468 nt
Filed under: uncultured bacterium
Lineage: Bacteria
Description: partial 16S ribosomal RNA
Rfam family: Bacterial small subunit ribosomal RNA
Source: RNAcentral
GACGAACGCUGGCGGCGUGCUCAACACAUGCAAGUCGAACGGAAAGGCCCUGCUUUUGUGGGGUGCUCGAGUGGCGAACGGGUGAGUAACACGUGAGUAACCUGCCCUUGACUUUGGGAUAACUUCAGGAAACUGGGGCUAAUACCGGAUAGGAGCUCCUGCUGCAUGGUGGGGGUUGGAAAGUUUCGGCGGUUGGGGAUGGACUCGCGGCUUAUCAGCUUGUUGGUGGGGUAGUGGCUUACCAAGGCUUUGACGGGUAGCCGGCCUGAGAGGGUGACCGGCCACAUUGGGACUGAGGUACGGCCCAGACUCCUACGGGAGGCAGCAGUGGGGAAUAUUGCACAAUGGGCGGAAGCCUGAUGCAGCAACGCCGCGUGCGGGAUGACGGCCUCCGGGUUGUAAACCGCUUUCGCCUGUGACGAAGCGUGAGUGACGGUAAUGGGUAAAGAAGCACCGGCUAACUACGUG